Molecule: ribosomal RNA, 465 nt
Filed under: uncultured bacterium
Lineage: Bacteria
Description: partial 16S ribosomal RNA
Rfam family: Bacterial small subunit ribosomal RNA
Source: RNAcentral
ACUACGGGAGGCAGCAGUGGGGAAUAUUGCGCAAUGGGCGAAAGCCUGACGCAGCGACGCCGCGUGAGGGAUGAAGGUCUUCGGAUCGUAAACCUCUGUCAGCAGGGAAGAACGGUCACUGUGCUAAUCAGCAGUGAAUUGACGGUACCUGCAAAGGAAGCACCGGCUAACUCCGUGCCAGCAGCCGCGGUAAUACGGAGGGUGCGAGCGUGAAUUGGAAUUACUGGGCGUAAAGCGGUCGUAGGCGGUAUGUCAAGUAAAGGGUGAAAUCCCCGCGCUCAACGUGGGAACUGCCUUUGAAACUGGCAAACUGUAGUGUGUGCGAGGAUAGUGGAAUUCCAGGUGUAGGAGUGAAAUCCGUAGAUAUCUGGAGGAACAUCAGUGGCGAAGGCGACUAUCUGGCACAUAACUGACGCUGAGGAGCGAAAGCGUGGGUAGCAAACAGGAUUAGAUACCCUAGUAGUC